Molecule: ribosomal RNA, 681 nt
Filed under: Triticum aestivum (bread wheat)
Lineage: Eukaryota; Viridiplantae; Streptophyta; Magnoliopsida; Poales; Poaceae
Description: partial small subunit ribosomal RNA
Source: RNAcentral
AUGGCGCUCCCGCCGUGGUUUGGCCCGCUGACGGUCCUUCAGGAGGUCGAGCGGCUCACCAUCGAGGACAACAACAAUGCCACUCGGGGGUGGACCAGGGCACACAUCAAGAGUUCCUUGAUUGCCAGACGUCACGACGACCACCAGCAGCUGCCACAGGAGGAGUUCGACGCCGCGUUUCGGAGGGUAUUCUCUGACCUCCUCCGUGGAGACCACCUUGUCAAGGGAGUCAACCGGCAGCACUACAAGCUGCACACCGCCGUCCCGCAUCACCUCCCGUCAUGGUUUUGUAAGGACGCCGUCCUGCGGACUGUCGAAAUGCUCGACAAUAACAACAACGACGAUGGUGGGUCGACCUGGGCACAGAUCAGGAAUUCCUUGAUGGAAAGAUACCACCAGCAGGCGCAGCUGCUGCCGCCAAACUUCCACAGGUUGCUGCGCAAGAUGCUCUCCGUGCUCCGAAAGAGAGGCCACCUCACUAGGGGAGCCAAUGGCCCGCAGCACUACACGCGGCGGCAGGCUCCAGCAUUCAACGAGCGUCAUCCCAUUCCCUUGGAAGAAUUCCAGUUGGGCUAUUAUCUCGGCUACACCAUGGGGGGCACGCAGGGUUACAUCUAUGGCGAGUUCCAGGGCAUGAUGGUGGGCAUGGAAUUGGGCGGCGAUCAGGAUGAGGCGGCAUAG